RNAcentral lists this ribosomal RNA (450 nucleotides) under uncultured bacterium. RNAcentral describes it as "bacterial SSU rRNA". It matches the Rfam family "Bacterial small subunit ribosomal RNA", at positions 355 to 825 of the family's 1533-position model. The record is from RNAcentral.
UCGAGAAUCUUCCACAAUGGACGAAAGCCUGAUGGAGCGACGUCGCGUGAUGGACGAAGUGCUUCGGCACGUAAACAUCUUUUAUGUGGGAUGAAAUUAUUGACAGUACCACAUGAAUAAGGGGCUCCUAACUCUGUGCCAGCAGGAGCGGUAAUACAGAGGCCCCAAGCGUUAUCCGGAAUCACUGGGCGUAAAGGGUGUCGAGGCGGUUGUAUUAGUCGUUCGUAAAAUCUACGAGCUUAACUUGUAGGCGGCGAACGAAACGGUACGACUUGAGGUUUGGAGAGGUGCGUGGAACUCACGGUGUAGGGGUGAAAUCCGUUGAUAUCGUGGGGAACACCAAAGGCGAAGGCAGCGCACUGGCCAAAAUCUGACGCUCACACACGAAAGCUAGGGUAGCGAAGAGGAUUAGAUACCCCCGUAGUCCCUGAGCGGGCUGGCAAGGCGCAU